Molecule: ribosomal RNA, 510 nt
Filed under: uncultured eukaryote
Lineage: Eukaryota
Description: SSU rRNA
Rfam family: Eukaryotic small subunit ribosomal RNA
Source: RNAcentral
CCUUACCGAAAGCAAUUGGAGGGCAAGUCUGGUGCCAGCAGCCGCGGUAAUUCCAGCUCCAAUAGCGUAUAUUAAAGUUGUUGCAGUUAAAAAGCUCGUAGUUGAAGUUCUGAUUGUUCGGGCCUCGCGCUUUAUAGCCGAGGAACCGACAGUCAUCCGCUUGCAAAUAUAUGUUCGCCUUUAACCGGGUGGCUAUAUGAGUAAGCAAUUUACCUUGAGAAAAACAGAGUGUUCCAGGCAGGUUUGUCCGGAAUGCAUUAGCAUGGAAUAAUAGAAUAUGACUGAAGUCGAUUUAUUGGUUUAAGGCUUUAGUAAUGAUUAAUAGGAACAGUCGGGGGCAUUGGUACUUGACAGUCAGAGGUGAAAUUCUAGGAUUUGUCAAAGACUAACAAAAUGCGAAAGCAUUUGCCAAGGAUGUUUUCAUUAAUCAAGAACGAAAGUUAGGGGAUCAAAGACGAUCAGAUACCGUCCUAGUCUUAACUAUAAACUAUACCGACUCGGAUUCAGAUG